CUUGUUCUAAAGCAGGAGAAUGCCUCUGACAGUAGUUGGAGGUGUAGUGCCAAGGGAAUCACGAUGCCAAACCAGGAGAAGCCUUCAGCGGUCCUAGAAACUCAGCAAAAUGUCCUGUGAGAUGGUAGUGCCCAGGAACCUGAAUGACUCCGCUGCUGCCACAGUGCUGUUUAGAAUGGUGAGGGGGGUCAGUGUUGGGGUGUUCCUCCUAAAGUCCACAAUCAUCUCCACCGUUUUGAGCGUGUUCAGCUGAAGGUUGUUUUGACUGCACCAGACAGCCAGCUGUUCAACCUCCCUUCUGUAUGCAGACUCAUCGUCAUCUCGGAUGAGGCCGAUGACAGUGGUGUCGUAUGCAAACUUCAGGAGGGGUCCUUGGCGAUGCAGUCAUUGGUGUAGAGGGAGAAGAGUAGUGGGGAGAGCACACAUCCCUGGGGAGCACCAGUGCUGAUUGUACAGGUGCUGGAAGUGAGUUUCCCCUGUCUCACAAGCUGCUGCCUGACUGUCAGAAAGCUGGUAAUCCACUGACAGAUAGACAUGGGAACAGAGAGAUGGUGUAAUUUAUUCUGGAGAUUAAAGGUGCUGUAAUCAGUAUUGGGGUGGUGGUUUUCAUCCGAGUCAAAAUAAUUCAGACAAAAUCUUCAUAGCAUCACAUAAUCAAAAGUGCCCUCAAGGUGACAGGACAAUGUCAGAAGGCUUCUUCCUCACAUUCCAGUCUCAGCUCUCCGUUGUCAUGGAGACCAUCCUCAAAUCCGCCAUGUUUGAGAUAACCAGGCUGGUGGAGGACAGCUUCCUCGAGGAAGUGGGUCGUUGUAAACAGGAGGUGGAACUCUUGAGACGAAAGCUGCAGUUGUCUGAAAGUAAACUGAGGGAGAGAGAAUGGGAACGGGGGAAGAAGUUGCAGUGCACAGACUGUGGCCGAACAGGAGAUUCCAACGGCAGAGACGAGAGCCAACAGGUAGAGACAGUUCGAGGCCUAAACAUGAGAGAUCAGUCUACCACAGGGCCUCCAUUGACUGAAAAGGUGUGGAGUACAAGACAGCAGUUGGAGCCUAACAUAGACAAGGCAACACACUCACAUUCAAAAGAGAAGCGUGAUGUACACAAACAGAGUGCUAAUGAGAUCACCGCAGCUCACACCAACUCCAAUGCACAGAUUCCUCAGGAUGUUCUACAGAGACUUCUAGGCAAUGCAGCAGUUCAUAGCGAGUCCACUUGUGACUUUAAACCUAGAGUGAUUGACAUAGAUGAAUCUGAAAAGGACUUCACUCUUGAUAAGGAAAUGGACUUAAAUCACUCAAAACUGUUACAAAGUCCUUUAGCUGAGGAUGGGCGUAAUGAUUUGGCACCGUCUUCACCAAACAGUAGAGUAAAAUCAGAGACAGAGCUGGAUCUUCUACCUGUCAAGGAUGAGGAAGAGAUGGUUCCAGUGUGGGAUAGCGAUAGAGAUGAUGGUUGCCAUGCCGAAAUGGCUGAUCCGAGUCACGGAGAGCUCAGAGGGUCUAGUGAUCAGGAGGAGAUACAGGUAGAAAGCUUUCCAAGUCUAAACUCUCUCGAAAUUCCAGACGCCACCUCAUAUUUCACAACUUAUUCAGUGAACACAUUGAUACAUCAAGGUAUUAGGGCACAGCAUAGUCAAUUAAGCACAACAGAGCUGGUGCUAUCCAGCUUACCAGGGAGGUCAAAUUCACUUGUCCAACAAGAAAACAGACCAACUUGUGGUUCAGAAAUUUCCAUCCCCUGUUCUCAUGAUGAAGUUUGUCCAGGCGAGAAAAUAAUAAGCCACGCAAAGCAUGAACAAAUCUAUGUAGGAAGACACCACCGUUGCACCCAGUGUGGAAGAACUUAUGUGAGAGCAUGUGACCUCAGGGCACAUAUGCUGAUCCACAAAGGCAAGAAACCUCUGAGUUGUACCCAGUGCGAUCAGACGUUUGCAUACAACUUUGAACUCAAGGUUCACCAGCAACACCACUCAGGGGAGAGACCGCACGUCUGUCCACAUUGCGGCAAGGCCUUCGCUCGGCUGAGCAACUUUAAGCAGCAUCAGAACAUCCACACACGGGAGAAGCUCUUCAGCUGUAAUCAAUGCGGGAUGAGGUUCAAUCGAGCCACCAACUUGCGAGUUCAUCUCAGAAGGCACAGCCACGCAGGGAAGACUUAUAGUUGCUCUCAGUGUGGAAAGAGCUUUCUGGGUCCCAGGCAAAUGAAGGCUCAUUUAAUGAAAAUCCAUGGAAGAGGAGGGAAAUAAAUCUAUCUACUUUUCAACUUAAGAAACUCAGCAUUUAUGCUCUGUUUUCACUUAAAAUCCUAAUUUAACUGAUUCUGAAUUGGUCUAAUGUUUACAUAUUAUCAAUGGUCUGCUCUGUUGGGGUAUAUUAAAAUAUCCCUAGUCUCUACACAUGUUUAAUCCUUGAAAAUGGAAACUCCCUUUUGCUAUCUGUAUUUUAGCCAAAUCCCAUACCUGGAUACACACAUUUAGAGCUAAGGGUGGUGAGAGCUCUCGGGCAGCCAACAUCCAGUUGCAACCAGGCACAAAAGCAUCAGAUAGAACAUGAGGACCUUUACAACCCUUUUGCAAACAUUGAACCCUUAAAGACACCUAAACACCUGUAAAGCACCUGGACAAAUCCAUAUGCAUGAAAUAAUAUUAGUAAAUAAAUAUAUAAUGAAAAUAAUUUUUUUCCCCCCAAGUUUGCUACUUCAAUAUCUACAACUUUUUUUUUUUCUGAAAUAGUUUUGUGUUCCCUUGCUAUAAGUUUUGCGUGCCCUUGCAAUAAAUUUACCAUGGUUUUACUAUAGUAACCAUAUUUUAACCUUGAUAUUUGUAGUAAAACCAUAAUAAUAAUACAGGAAAAUGAAAACUAUGGAAAUAAAAAUCAUAAUUUUAUGGUUAUUAUGGUUUUACUGUAAAUUAUUUGUCAUAAAACCAUAGUAACCACAAGAAAUACUAUAAUUAAUUUAGUAAAACCAUGGUUACUAUAUGGAUACACUAUAUUGUAUUAAAACCUUGGUUUCCGCCAAAAAAAAACAUGGUUACUUAACUUACUUUUCAUAGUUAAUACAAUAAUAUUACUAUAGUAAAACCAUGGUUUCCGUCAUAAAAACAAAACAUGAUUAGCCUACAACAGUCAUGGUUACUACAAUAUUACUAUUGUAAAACCAUAGUUAAAAUAUGGUAUUUGUAUAGUAAAACCAUAAUCACAAAAUUAUGAUUUUUAUUAACAUAGUUUUUGUUUUCCUGUAUUAUCACUGUAUUAAAAUAUGGUUACUGUAGUAAAACCAUGGUAAAUCUAUUGUGAGGGAAUGCAAAACUUAUUGUGAGGCAACGCAAACUAUUUCGAGUGCACGUAAAACUAUUUCAAAAAACAAAUUCCCGCCCUGUCCUCUAAGGGGCUCUGUAGGUUCCUUAUAGUCUCAAGACCUCUGACCUGUAGAGCACAACAUUGCCAGUUCCAGAAGUAAAUGUCCCACUCAUUUUUCCAUAGAGGAAUUGAUUUUUAAUGAUAACUUAUUAACCUUUAAAGACAGACCGACCUUGAGCUCCGAGGUUGUUACAUGAUGUUUAUAUGCUUCUGUUGAAGUCGUACGUCUGCCUUAUUUCAACUUCAGCAGCGCAUUUUCUGAUAAAGAACUACACUGUCAAUGAUCCAGAAGUGAAAGACCCACCAAUCAAAGAAUCGCGACCAACAAAAUGUGGCGAAAGAGCUCAGUACCGCCCAAUCCCAUGACGCACUGUUAAUAACAAACUUCUUAACUAAAUAUUUUGCAAUAAACAUAAAAUGCAUUCUUUUUAUACUUAUAAUCAACAACUUCAAGUCAGUACUUUUAUAUUUUUCUAUAGUUUUUAAACCUCUACCGUAACUAUGUACACAUUCUUUUUGUCAGAUUUUCAAAUAAUUUUUUUUGUUGUUGUUGUUGCUUCAAAUCAAAGUUUGUAAUGAUGUGAUUCACCUCGAAGCUGGUUGGAUUGGUUCAUGUCUUAGAAGGAUUUUAUGAAAUCCCUAUGGAAAAUAUGAAUGGGAAAAAUACAUACAUAACCAGGUCGACUAGACGAACACUGUUAUGCUCUAUUUAGAAACGGUAAUCAUUGAAUUACUUCAACAGGAAUUGUUUUGCUGUUGUAUUAUCAAUGUAAAAUGAUUUGCAUAGUUUAUAUAAUGUUUUGUAUGUCUUCAAGCAAUUGGGUAUGUCCUAUUUGCUGAAGUACAUUUAAGGAUAAUUUCACUAAAACGGAGCUCUGACAUUCUAAAUGUAAUCAAUAAAAAUAAACUAAAUUGUGAAUUCAAAUAAGUCUCUAUUGAUCCAACAAUCAAAGUCUACUGUUGGGAAAGAGAAACAAACUUUCAGAUUUACCUUCCUGAACAGCAACAACUGCAGACAAACAUGUUACAUUCCAUCGAAAUCCAUUCCAAAACACUACAUUUCAUCCAUUUCAGUCAUUUUUCUUUUGUCUUUUUUUUUUUUUUUCUUCUUAUGAAAGAUAAUUCUACUACUGAUUUGUGGAUUAAAGAACAUUGCAAGACAUAACUGCUGCUCCUUAGCCUUAUUUCCAAGGUACUUCAGUAUUAUGUCUUGAUUUUUGUCUUGGAGUGAUCGUUAUCAGACAACUUCUCUAGGUAAAGUAACAUUAACAGUGAUUAUACAUUUCUUUCAUGUAUACAUAACCUGCCAAAUGAUGGGUUCAUGGAGGCCCAAGUCUUUACAAAUGACUAUUUACUAUUUGGUGGAAAUAUAUAUUUUUUAACCAAUAUUUCUGACCAAAAUAUUAAGAAAAGGCACAUAAGAUUCAAAUGAUCCCCAGCAUAAAAGACAUAAUAUAAUGGAUUUGAAAGCUUUUUCUGACAAAAGCAGUGCAUCUUAGUACAAUGCGUUAUAUAUAUUUUUUUUAAUUAGGCUUUAGAGACUUUUAAUUUUAUACAGUAAUUGUAGUGUGUUUAGAUAUUUUGUAUUGAUUAUUUUGACUUUAAUGGGACAAGAAUUCACAGAGGUGAAACUGAACCAAGACAACAGAUACUGUAUUUCUGAAAGGUUUACUGACAAACUUUCUGCACUCCCUAUUUGAAAGAAUUAUCAUUGUCUCAACUGUGUUAUUGCAGAACUGACUUAAUGUCUUUUCUGAAAAUAAACAAUAACAUAACCCAUAUACACAUUAAACAAAGUUAGCAUUGCACUAUUCAUCUAGUAAACAAUAUAUUUUAAUACAAAGCAGUCAUUCUCCAAAAAAAAAAAAAAAACAAAAAAAAAAUACAUAUAUAUAUAAAUUUUUAUUUUUUUUUAAUUAUGAAAAGAAUAUUAUAGAAGCAUGAUAAAUGCUAAAUUAUAAUAUAAACCAAACAAUAUAACUCUGUUUUACUAAUUUGGUGUUGUGUAUGUUGUAGAUUGGCCGAAGGUUUGCAGAAUGUCCCUCCACAGAACAAGGAAAACUGCACCCCAUAAACAGGCGGAGAACAUUCAGCGUAGUGGCCAGGGAGAUCCUGACACAGUUUCAGGUUUGGCAGAGGGCAUGCUAUAGCAGGAAUAUAGAGUG
This is an RNA transcript of Myxocyprinus asiaticus (Chinese sucker), 5524 nucleotides long. It is a transcript of the gene named zinc finger protein with KRAB and SCAN domains 8-like, with no coding region annotated. NCBI's taxonomy places the organism in Eukaryota, Metazoa, Chordata, Actinopteri, Cypriniformes, Catostomidae. The record is from RefSeq and is a predicted model, not a curated record. The transcript has 5 exons.